This 376-nucleotide ribosomal RNA is filed under the name Mycetocylapus alexeyi. RNAcentral describes it as "Mycetocylapus sp. 1 AN-2018 partial 16S ribosomal RNA". Lineage: Eukaryota; Metazoa; Arthropoda; Insecta; Hemiptera; Miridae. The record is from RNAcentral.
AUGAUGAUAUUAAAUAGCCGCAGUAUUUUGACUGUGCAAAGGUGCAUAAUCAUUUGUCUUUUAAUUGAAGACUGGUAUGAAUGAUUUGAUGAGAAUUAUACUUUCUUUAUUUUAUAUAAAAAAUUUAAUUUUUAAGUUAAAAAGCUUAAAUCAAUUUAAGGGACGAGAAGACCCUAUAGAACUUUAAUUAUAUAAAUAUGAUAGAAUAUUUGUUUAUAAAAUUAUUUAUUUUUUUUAUAAUUUAUAUUGGGGUGAUAAAAAAAAUAGUUUAACUUUUUUUAUUUUUAACAUUAAUAUAUGUAAUUUUGAUCCUUUAUUAUUGAUUAAAAGAUUAAGUUACCUUAGGGAUAACAGCGUUAUUAUUUUGUGGAGAUCU